CUAGAAAGUAUUAAGUAAGGGACUUACUGUUAGGUAUGUUCUAGGACUAAUAUGAUAUUGAGGGAAACCAGUUCACUUUUCUCAGCUAUGCUUCUACUACAGAUAGGUGGAACAUCUACAAAUAUGUAAUACUAAAAAAUUCAUAUCCAAGCUCAAAACUAGGAAAGGUUGUCCUUAUAUCCUAAAAAUGAAGGUGGAACUUAAAUCUAGAAAAAUAAUCUAGAAAAAUAAGCUUUAGCUUCCUAUGCAGGAAAACUCGCACCAACACAUACACAGUGACACACAGAGGCACACACAGGCAGACACACACAGUCAUACACACAGACACACAUGCAGACACACCCACAAGCACACACAGACAUACACACAAACACACACACAGACACACUGGCAUGCACAGGCACACACAAACAGGCAUACACACUGACAUACACAGGCACACACAGGCAUACACACAGACACACACAUAGACACACAGGAAUACACAGGCACACACACACACAGGUAUACACACAGACACACACAGGCAUACACAUAGACACACAUACAGGCACAGACAGGAACACACAGACACAUACAUAGCAGGACACAUGCAUACACACGAGAAUGCUUGGGCACACACACAGUCGUUAUGGGUGGAAAGGAGGACAAUGGAUAUUUAUUAGAAAAGAAGAUUUAUUAGAAAAGAAGAUGGAUGGAGAAGUAGGUAGUAUAUUUAAAUUGAUAAUUUAUAAUGGGAAAAUAGAUGCCCAAAAUUGAAGACAAUUGUGUAAUACAAAAUCUUGAGUAGAAUCAGAAACAAGCUUUAUUUGUUAUGGACACAGUAUAGUGAAUUUUCUUAGCAUCAAAUGCCACAGAAUUUUCAAUACCAUCAGAGAGAAAAUAAAUAUUCCCAAAAUCAUAAGAUAAUAUAUUACAUCAGACUCUCAUUAGCAAUGAGAGAUGCCAGUAGACAGUGUAUUUUAUGUGUUGAAAUUGGUGGAGGAGAAUAAUGAUAAAACUAAAAUUCUAUAUCCAUAUGAAUCAGAUUCAUGACAAAAGGUGAACUAAAGGUACUUUAGAGAGAGGCUGAAUUUACUUU
This 1081-nucleotide long non-coding RNA is filed under the name Pan troglodytes (chimpanzee). RNAcentral describes it as "lincRNA". Lineage: Eukaryota; Metazoa; Chordata; Mammalia; Primates; Hominidae. The record is from RNAcentral.